RNAcentral lists this ribosomal RNA (497 nucleotides) under uncultured bacterium. RNAcentral describes it as "partial 16S ribosomal RNA". It matches the Rfam family "Bacterial small subunit ribosomal RNA", at positions 28 to 507 of the family's 1533-position model. The record is from RNAcentral.
GAUGAACGCUGGCGGCGUGCCUAAUACAUGCAAGUCGAGCGAACAGAUGAGGAGCUUGCUCCUCUGACGUUAGCGGCGGACGGGUGAGUAACACGUGGAUAACCUACCUAUAAGACUGGGAUAACUUCGGGAAACCGGAGCUAAUACCGGAUAAUAUAUUGAACCGCAUGGUUCAAUAGUGAAAGACGGUUUUGCUGUCACUUAUAGAUGGAUCCGCGCCGCAUUAGCUAGUUGGUAAGGUAACGGCUUACCAAGGCAACGAUGCGUAGCCGACCUGAGAGGGUGACCGGCCACACUGGAACUGAGACACGGUCCAGACUCCUACGGGAGGCAGCAGUAGGGAAUCUUCCGCAAUGGGCGAAAGCUUGACGGAGCAACGCCGCGUGAGUGAUGAAGGUCUUCGGAUCGUAAAACUCUGUUAUUAGGGAAGAACAAAUGUGUAAGUAACUAUGCACGUCUUGACGGUACCUAAUCAGAAAGCCACGGCUAACUACGUG